UUGAAGACUAUAAAUACAAUCUCUUCCUUUACAACCAUCACUAUUCAUUCACAGACUCAAGCAUCAAAACCAGAAGAACCGUGGCCAUCCAAAACAAAAAACAAAAUUUUAUAGGUGACAUGACCAAAACACCCUUAUUAAAAAUAAGAAAUUACAAUAAUACCUUAGACCUAAUUCAGUUUUCUUCCUCUCUCUCCCUCAUCUGUUUAGAUUGACUAGUUGAGACAAUUUUGUAUAGCAGAAAUUUCUGUCGUCCAUUUUGAUGUUUCCUAUUAAGUGGAAAUCUGAAAUGAGAACCUAACAUCAAUGAAACCAUACUCUUGUGAAUUGAUCUAUUAUUUUUUGUUUCAUUUCAAAUUCUUUCAUUGCAUGCAUAAACACAAGCAUUGCAAUAAAUAAUAGUAAUAAUAAUGAUAUAUACAAAUAAAGUCUAUCUUUAACCUAUAAGGAUUUUCAACUUGAUUGGCACACAAAGUCAGUAGAAGUGAAAUCCAGAUGUUAAUAUGAAAAGUUCAUCCACCGUCCACGACCCCUACUAAUGGAUAAACUUAUAUAAACUUUGUUAUCCUACAGUUAACUGCACAAAUUGAAAUGAAAAUGGCAAAAGGAAUAUAUACCAAUAAUUGAUCAAAGAAUUUUAAAAAAAAUUGGUAUGCAAAGGCAUUACUAUGAGAACUGUAACCCCAGCUAAGCUGACACCACAACCAUCAACAAUUUCAGUCCAAUUUGAGUUGUGUUGAAAACCAUCUACAGGUUGCAUUUAUUCAACAAUUUCUUAAUCCUGCUUGGAUUGUAGCCAGAAUGAAAAUAUGAAACAUAUUGGACGGAGUAUUUUUACAAACCAAGUAUUCUAUAUUUAAUGGCCUGAUAAGUCAUUCAACCAACUCUAAAUAGUUUCUUAACUGUCAUGUAUAGUCUAAGCUCACAAACUUAUAUGCCUUAUACUCCUAUCAAUAACAAAGUUCAUUUAAACAUUCCAACUCCCAUGAAAUUCAAUUAUCAACUUCCAUACACACAAACCUUUUAAAACUUGUAAUAAUUAUGAAGGAUAUGUUACUAGUUGUACCUUAUACGUAAAUGAAGGUCAAAUUNNN
RNAcentral lists this long non-coding RNA (1094 nucleotides) under Cicer arietinum (chickpea). RNAcentral describes it as "long non-coding RNA (CARI_LNC001540)". Lineage: Eukaryota; Viridiplantae; Streptophyta; Magnoliopsida; Fabales; Fabaceae. The record is from RNAcentral.